RNAcentral lists this ribosomal RNA (253 nucleotides) under uncultured bacterium. Its description in RNAcentral is "partial 16S ribosomal RNA". It matches the Rfam family "Bacterial small subunit ribosomal RNA", at positions 524 to 776 of the family's 1533-position model. The record is from RNAcentral.
UACGUAGGGGGCAAGCGUUGUCCAGAUUCAUUGGGCGUAAAGAGCGUGUAGGCGGCCAGGUAGGUCGGUUGUGAAAACUGGAGGCUCAACCUUCAGAGGUCGACCGAAACCAUCUGGCUAGAGUCCGGGAGAGGAGAGUGGAAUUCCUGGUGUAGCGGUGAAAUGCGCAGAUAUCAGGAAGAACACCCGUGGCGAAAGCGGCUCUCUGGAACGGUACUGACGCUGAGACGCGAAAGCGUGGGGAGCGAACAGG